AAAUGUUAAGUAGAGUUUCUAUAUUUGAUUACGGCUCAAAAGGAUUUACAUUUU
This 54-nucleotide transfer RNA is filed under the name Protostrongylus rufescens. RNAcentral's name for it is "tRNA-Arg". The record is from RNAcentral. Lineage: Eukaryota; Metazoa; Nematoda; Chromadorea; Rhabditida; Metastrongylidae.